ACAGAUCUGGCCCAACUCGACCUGCAAUCCCUGGUCGCGACUGCUCAGUCGCGACCAAGGAUGCCGGAACGGCGAAUGCCUGCGGCGGCGACGUCUCGGGCCGACGGGGGACACGGCUCGAGCUCUCCAGUCACGGCGGUAUCCCUCCGGCCACCAGCAGUCCUAGGGGGCCCUACGUGGAGCAAUCGAGGGGCGGAGUUUCACUCGGACAAUUCCACAAACAGGUUGCAUACACUAACAAAACUAAUAGACUUUGUCUCGGUCGCAGCCCGAGCAUCUAUCCAGACUUCGAAGGGGACAUGGCAGAACAGCAAGCGGGGUAACAAGGACAAGAAGGUGGCCGGAGCUCGCCCGAACUAACCGGGAUGAGUUCCGGCCGACUCAUUUCCAGAAAUGCACACCAGAAAUUUCGAUGAAAGGCCUACCUGGUUUCAGACGGGAAUGGCAGCUUGGAAGACGCGUCUGCGGCGGUGGCAGCGGCGAUGGCGGCUCGGAGAUGCGUCGGCGGUGGUUGCAGCGGUUGGGAGACGCGUUGAUGGCGGUGGCGACGGCGAUGGCGGCCCGGAGAUGCGUCGGCGGUGGUUGCGGCGGUUGGGAGACGCGUUGACGGUGGUGGCCUCGGCGAAUUCCCCCUCCUGUUUUUCUGUUUCUCUCGCGCUCCCCCCCGGUUCUCUC
RNAcentral lists this long non-coding RNA (675 nucleotides) under Eucalyptus grandis. RNAcentral's name for it is "long non-coding RNA (EGRA_LNC002621)". The record is from RNAcentral. Lineage: Eukaryota; Viridiplantae; Streptophyta; Magnoliopsida; Myrtales; Myrtaceae.